Molecule: ribosomal RNA, 253 nt
Filed under: uncultured bacterium
Lineage: Bacteria
Description: partial 16S ribosomal RNA
Rfam family: Bacterial small subunit ribosomal RNA
Source: RNAcentral
UACGAAGGGGGCAAGCGUUGUUCGGAAUUACUGGGCGUAAAGGGCGCGUAGGCGGCUUAUCAAGUCAGGCGUGAAAUUCCCGGGCUCAACCUGGGGGCUGCGCUUGAUACUGAUGAGCUUGAAUGCGGGAGAGGAUAGUGGAAUUCUCGGUGUAGAGGUGAAAUUCGUAGAUAUCGAGAGGAACACCGGUGGCGAAGGCGGCCAACUGGACAGAUACUGACGCUGAGACACGAAAGCGUGGGGAGCAAACAGG